Molecule: ribosomal RNA, 513 nt
Filed under: uncultured Bacteroidota bacterium
Lineage: Bacteria; Pseudomonadati; Bacteroidota
Description: bacterial SSU rRNA
Rfam family: Bacterial small subunit ribosomal RNA
Source: RNAcentral
CUUGGACAAUGGGGGCAACCCUGAUCCAGCGACGCCGCGUGGGUGAUGAAGGCCUUCGGGUUGUAAAGCCCUUUCACCGGGGACGAUGAUGACGGUACUAUAUGAAUAAGCACCGGCUAACUCCGUGCCAGCAGCCGCGGUAAUACGGAGGGUGCAAGCGUUGUCCGGAUUUAUUGGGUUUAAAGGGUGCGUAGGCGGCCCGUUAAGUCAGCGGUGAAAUCCCACGGCUCAACCGUGGAACUGCCGUUGAUACUGGCGGGCUUGAGUUCGGUCGAGGCGGGCGGAACUGGUGGUGUAGCGGUGAAAUGCAUAGAUACCACCAAGAACCCCGAUUGCGUAGGCAGCUCGCUGGGCCGAAACUGACGCUGAGGCACGAAAGCGUGGGGAGCGAACAGGAUUAGAUACCCUGGUAGUCCACGCCGUAAACGAUGAUGACUCGAUGUCGGCGAUACACUGUCGGCGUCCAAGCGAAAGCGUUAAGUCAUCCACCUGGGGAGUACGCCCGCAAGGGUG